Molecule: small RNA, 29 nt
Filed under: Bombyx mori (domestic silkworm)
Lineage: Eukaryota; Metazoa; Arthropoda; Insecta; Lepidoptera; Bombycidae
Description: ovarian small RNA-23792
Source: RNAcentral
UAUCUGCGGACGUUGCUGCGGAUGCGGGU